This 21-nucleotide small nuclear RNA is filed under the name Arabidopsis thaliana (thale cress). RNAcentral describes it as "snRNA_13675". Lineage: Eukaryota; Viridiplantae; Streptophyta; Magnoliopsida; Brassicales; Brassicaceae. The record is from RNAcentral.
UAUCCCUCUUUGUGGUACAUA